This 591-nucleotide ribosomal RNA is filed under the name Acinetobacter johnsonii. RNAcentral describes it as "bacterial SSU rRNA". It matches the Rfam family "Bacterial small subunit ribosomal RNA", at positions 18 to 603 of the family's 1533-position model. The record is from RNAcentral. Lineage: Bacteria; Pseudomonadati; Pseudomonadota; Gammaproteobacteria; Moraxellales; Moraxellaceae.
CCUGGCUCAGAUUGAACGCUGGCGGCAGGCUUAACACAUGCAAGUCGAGCGGGGAAAGGUAGCUUGCUACCUGACCUAGCGGCGGACGGGUGAGUAAUGCUUAGGAAUCUGCCUAUUAGUGGGGGACAACAUUCCGAAAGGAAUGCUAAUACCGCAUACGCCCUACGGGGGAAAGCAGGGGAUCUUCGGACCUUGCGCUAAUAGAUGAGCCUAAGUCAGAUUAGCUAGUUGGUGGGGUAAAGGCCUACCAAGGCGACGAUCUGUAGCGGGUCUGAGAGGAUGAUCCGCCACACUGGGACUGAGACACGGCCCAGACUCCUACGGGAGGCAGCAGUGGGGAAUAUUGGACAAUGGGCGAAAGCCUGAUCCAGCCAUGCCGCGUGUGUGAAGAAGGCCUUUUGGUUGUAAAGCACUUUAAGCGAGGAGGAGGCUACUUGGAUUAAUACUCUAGGAUAGUGGACGUUACUCGCAGAAUAAGCACCGGCUAACUCUGUGCCAGCAGCCGCGGUAAUACAGAGGGUGCGAGCGUUAAUCGGAUUUACUGGGCGUAAAGCGUGCGUAGGCGGCUUCUUAAGUCGGAUGUGAAAUCCC